GCUUGGCUGGCUCAGUUGGUAGAACAUGUGACUGUUGAUCUUGGGAUUGUGAGUUCAAGCCCCAUGUUGGGCA
This 73-nucleotide transfer RNA is filed under the name Mustela putorius furo (domestic ferret). It matches the Rfam family "tRNA". Rfam says of the family: Transfer RNA (tRNA) molecules are approximately 80 nucleotides in length. The record is from Rfam by way of RNAcentral. RNAcentral also lists the same sequence under 1 other name. Lineage: Eukaryota; Metazoa; Chordata; Mammalia; Carnivora; Mustelidae.